Molecule: long non-coding RNA, 1717 nt
Organism: Oreochromis niloticus (Nile tilapia)
Lineage: Eukaryota; Metazoa; Chordata; Actinopteri; Cichliformes; Cichlidae
Exons: 3
Source: RefSeq, a predicted model, not a curated record
GGCAACCCGAAGGUACCACUGUGUGGCACACUGGGGACUGAAUACAGUAGGAAAAGCACAGCUGCAUUCAACUUUGGAGAGGUCCUGCUUUUGUGCAUGCUGACUCUUUGUCACGGUUUAACUGGCACACUUUGUGGAACUCGCAUCAAUAAUACACCUGUUCGCUCCUCGCUGUGGGAAGCCAAAAUGCCGGCCAUGAAAAACAUCUUGACGAAUUACAUCAGCAUCCGAAUAGAGUCAGCAGUGGAUCAUCCAUCACUCCUUUGUGGACAUGUCAGUGUGAAAAGCUGCCAGAAGGCUCUCCACUACACACCCCUCAUGUUUGGAGUAUAUUGUGGGUGUGUUUAUGGUGUACUCUGGUUAUUUUUUUCUAGUUUUUGUGGUUUUCUUAUUUUAGACCCAGACACAUAUGACAAAUCAGCUCCUUGAGUCCUCGUCUCCAACUUCAGAGCUCAGAGUCCCUGCUUCACAUCUCUGAUUGGAGUAACAUGUGUUAUCAUGCUGUCAUAUCACAGCCUUUUUCUGCAGUUCCAUGAAGUUUAAAAUAUAAAACAAACAUCAAAUACUUCUUUGUAAUUCCGUGGAAAGUUGCUCAUCCCAGGUGAUUUACAUAAAUUGUUACUGUUUCCCAUGCCGCCAGUGACGCUGAGAGCUCACUCCAAUUGUUCCAAUUGUUGGAUCUGUACAAGAUUUGUUGCUUAAAUUUUGUUCUUUUUCUUAUUGUGAAACUGUUUGAGAAACAAACUGAGGUGUACUAUCUGUGUUAUUGUGAGGUUGCAUGAAAAUACCAGGCAGUUUAGUGCAGGCUAAACUGAAUACUUUGCAGUACUGUGGUGAAUUUGCUCUAUAUUUUGUAAUGGCUAAUCCACCAGUAUGCAAGAACUCCAUAAUCAAAAUAAUAUUUCUAUGUAAAUGACCACAGCAGACCCAAUGACAUUUUACUGCUUUUCAGCAUCUUUUAUUGCACAUGGUUGCCGUUCAGAAACACACAUGGCUGCAGCUUUUCAGCCGCCACAUAUCAACAACAAGCACAGCUUUUUAUGCCAAAGAGGAGUGAUUGUAGAUGCCGUGCAGGUGAGUCCAUCUCACAGCAGCAUCGCAAACCACGCUCCGCCACAUUCUACUUCAAAAAUGAUCAAGGUGUGGUAACAGAUUGAGGACACAAUUGCAGGAUGCGAUAAACAAAGGCUGAACAUAAAGUUCAGUGUUUUUUUUUCAAGAAAAAGAACAGCACAGCUCCUGGGAUGACUCUACAAAGGGCGCUGGGAACUAUGACAAUUUGAACCUAAUCACAGAAAAACAUACAAGGGAAGUAAACUAAACAGGCUACACAGGAUGACUUGUUUCUGUUUCCAUUUUUUUGGUUUUUUUGGUUUUGCGAUCGUAUACUUCCUCCACGAAAUAAAUGCUAAAAACAUUUUUUGUGUGUGGUUUUAGACAAUGAAGUUUACUGACGGUAAAAAUUUGUGAUGUACAUCAGCUAGUACAACUUGCAAGCUCAGCCUUGAGGAGCAGAACGGAAAAAGGGUUCAAGAUGCUCAAGAUAUAUCCAGUUAUAUCGACAACUAUGAAUCUAAGCUAUGUGUUAGCCAGCUAACAACAUAGCUCUUUGUCUUGCACUGCUAUCAGCAGUGCAGUGGUGGUUAAACCAGAAGUAGCCAAUUGGAAGUACUCAGCCAUACACUCGGAUUCCAGAGCCUGACAGGCACCAUCUUGU